AUUGAACGCUGGCGGCAUGCUUUACACAUGCAAGUCGAACGGCAGCGCGGGCUUCGGCCUGGCGGCGAGUGGCGAACGGGUGAGUAAUACAUCGGAACGUGCCCAGUAGUGGGGGAUAGCUCGGCGAAAGCCGGAUUAAUACCGCAUACGACCUGAGGGUGAAAGCGGGGGAUCUUCGGACCUCGCGCUAUUGGAGCGGCCGAUGGCAGAUUAGCUAGUUGGUGGGGUAAAGGCCUACCAAGGCGACGAUCUGUAGCUGGUCUGAGAGGACGACCAGCCACACUGGGACUGAGACACGGCCCAGACUCCUACGGGAGGCAGCAGUGGGGAAUUUUGGACAAUGGGCGAAAGCCUGAUUCAGCAAUGCCGCGUGUGUGAUGAAGCCCUUCGGGUUGUAAAGCACUUUUGGCGGGAACGAAAAGGACUGUGCCAAUACCACGGUUCGAUGACGGUACCCGCAGAAUAAGCACCGGCUAACUACGUGCCAGCCGCCGCCGUAA
RNAcentral lists this ribosomal RNA (500 nucleotides) under uncultured bacterium. RNAcentral's name for it is "partial 16S ribosomal RNA". It matches the Rfam family "Bacterial small subunit ribosomal RNA", at positions 29 to 523 of the family's 1533-position model. The record is from RNAcentral.